AGUGGACCCGUGAAGACAGGUGGACGCGUCUUUGUGUUGGACCACACACGGUGGACGCCACCGAUGAAAGAGCCUUAUCUACCAAGGUCUACCAAUGCUGAACGGUACUCGCUUCAAGCAUUGGAGAAACGAUGUGAAAGUGACGCAGAUCGAUGCACACGUCCAUCUUUCCAACAUUUCCAAAUGACCAUCUUUUAUCCAGGGAGUGUUUUCUGGAAGGGACCCCUUGGAUUUCUUCUACAGGAGCCAAGCAGAUAAGAGACACCCUCAGUCUGCAGGACAGAUCUGAGCAGAUUAGAGGAUAUCAUGUCGGAAAAUGCUCUGUCUGUGGUUCGUUAAAGAUCCAGAUAUAAGGCCGGUAUCAAGGAAGCCUCUGAAGAUGAACAGCUGGUUGACUUUGGCUCUUGUGCCAAGAUUGAAGGAAAUGUGGAAAAGCAGAGCUGAUGGUUUUGAUGAUUUCGUCUUGAAGAGCUGCCUUCCAGGGACAUGGAUGAACAAUUUGCAGCAGUCCCUGAGAAAGAAACGGCAGUCUGCCUCUCCUAAACACACAAAUGUCCCACCCAAGCCUCUG
Fundulus heteroclitus (mummichog) is the source of this 571-nucleotide long non-coding RNA. RefSeq lists it as uncharacterized. The transcript has 3 exons. NCBI's taxonomy places the organism in Eukaryota, Metazoa, Chordata, Actinopteri, Cyprinodontiformes, Fundulidae. The record is from RefSeq and is a predicted model, not a curated record.